Molecule: long non-coding RNA, 1107 nt
Filed under: Marmota monax (woodchuck)
Lineage: Eukaryota; Metazoa; Chordata; Mammalia; Rodentia; Sciuridae
Source: RNAcentral
UGUAACUUGCGGCUGAAAUCACUAUAAUAGAUACAAAUAUAUUCACGGCUAUCUCUAUAAUAAUGCUACAUUUUUUUCUUUACAAUAAACUUCCCUAAAGGGGUAGAUACAAAUCUCAGACAUUAGAAAGUAUAUGUAAUACCAGUCACAUCUAUGUAACCAAGACCCAUUAUAUCCACUAUUGUGGUAAGAACAAAACAGAACAAACAAAAACCAAGUAUUAAAUAAACAAAUUUGAGGAUACAAAAUCAUGCUCCACCUGAGAAUAUGUUUAGCUUAGAGCUUAAUAGAUUUUCUUUGAGCACUCUUUGAAAUAUGAGACAAAGUUUCUUCUAAACAGUUGUAGAGGGUGUGGAUAGGACAAGACAGGCUCAGCUUGUAUGAAGAAGUUUUCAGUGUUUUCAAAAUAAAAUUAUAAUAGGGCUGUCCAAGAGGAGGGUGGGACUUCUCGUAGAUCAGGAAGCAAACCUUUGCCAAUGGAGAUACUUACUCAAGGAUGGAAUGACUGCUCUGAGGGUGUUACAGAGGAGAGUCAUGUUUUGAGAAGGGUUUGAGGAGAUGAUAUUUGAGGGCUUUCCAAAAGAUUGCGUGAUUCAACUCCAGUGGCACUUAACUUAGAGCCUGUGUCAGGGCACGGCCCUAGUUGGUCUCCUUAAAGGUGGACUGCCAAUAGACUAGCUCUUCAUCCUCAUGACAUUGAAUUUAGAGUUGCUGCAGUAUAUUGUGUACUUCAGAAGCAAUUAUUUGCAUUGAGGAGAAAGUUGAGUCAACUAACGAAAAAGUGAGAUCUUUGGGUUUUCCAUCAACGGUCCUUAAACUCCAUAUCUUGAACUAUUCUAAGAGUGGCUGAAAGUUGGCACAAACCACACCACAAACUUUAGAGAAGAUAUGCAAAGACCAGGCAAACUAGUGUGCACACAGCUCACAGCACGAAGCAUGCCUGGAAGUCAGCACAAGAGCAACAAUUAAAAUAUCACAAGAUGAGCUCUAGACCCAGUUAGGUAGAGCUUCUUUGUGUAAUGACCUUUCUCGUGGUGUGAUAGCAAAUACAAUGGGCUGGCCUCAUAAAUCAUACCUCCAGCAAACAUCCGCAGGGCAGACUUUGAC